CAUGAGUUAUGUCAUGUUAUCGAUAUGUGAAUACAUAGCAUAUCAGAAGGCACACCCGGAGAACUGAAACAUCUUAGUACCCGGAGGAAGAGAAAGAAAAUUCGAUUCCCUUAGUAGCGGCGAGCGAAACGGGAAGAGCCCAAACCAACAAGCUUGCUUGUUGGGGUUGUAGGACACUCUAUACGGAGUUACAAAGGACGACAUUAGACGAAUCAUCUGGAAAGAUGAAUCAAAGAAGGUAAUAAUCCUGUAGUCGAAAAUGUUGUCUCUCUUGAGUGGAUCCUGAGUACGACGGAGCACGUGAAAUUCCGUCGGAAUCUGGGAGGACCAUCUCCUAAGGCUAAAUACUCUCUAGUGACCGAUAGUGAACCAGUACCGUGAGGGAAAGGUGAAAAGCACCCCGGAAGGGGAGUGAAAUAGAACCUGAAACCGUGUGCUUACAAGUAGUCAGAGCCCGUUAAUGGGUGAUGGCGUGCCUUUUGUAGAAUGAACCGGCGAGUUACGAUUUGAUGCAAGGUUAAGCAGUAAAUGUGGAGCCGUAGCGAAAGCNNNNNNNNNNNNNNNNNNNNNNNNNNNNNNNNAGUCUGAAUAGGGCGUUUAGUAUUUGGUCGUAGACCCGAAACCAGGUGAUCUACCCUUGGUCAGGUUGAAGUUCAGGUAACACUGAAUGGAGGACCGAACCGACUUACGUUGAAAAGUGAGCGGAUGAACUGAGGGUAGCGGAGAAAUUCCAAUCGAACCUGGAGAUAGCUGGUUCUCUCCGAAAUAGCUUUAGGGCUAGCCUCAAGUGAUGAUUAUUGGAGGUAGAGCACUGUUUGGACGAGGGGCCCCUCUCGGGUUACCGAAUUCAGACAAACUCCGAAUGCCAAUUAAUUUAACUUGGGAGUCAGAACAUGGGUGAUAAGGUCCGUGUUCGAAAGGGAAACAGCCCAGACCACCAGCUAAGGUCCCAAAAUAUAUGUUAAGUGGAAAAGGAUGUGGCGUUGCCCAGACAACUAGGAUGUUGGCUUAGAAGCAGCCAUCAUUUAAAGAGUGCGUAAUAGCUCACUAGUCGAGUGACACUGCGCCGAAAAUGUACCGGGGCUAAACAUAUUACCGAAGCUGUGGAUUGUCCUUUGGACAAUGGUAGGAGAGCGUUCUAAGGGCGUUGAAGCAUGAUCGUAAGGACAUGUGGAGCGCUUAGAAGUGAGAAUGCCGGUGUGAGUAGCGAAAGACGGGUGAGAAUCCCGUCCACCGAUUGACUAAGGUUUCCAGAGGAAGGCUCGUCCGCUCUGGGUUAGUCGGGUCCUAAGCUGAGGCCGACAGGCGUAGGCGAUGGAUAACAGGUUGAUAUUCCUGUACCACCUAUAAUCGUUUUAAUCGAUGGGGGGACGCAGUAGGAUAGGCGAAGCGUGCGAUUGGAUUGCACGUCUAAGCAGUAAGGCUGAGUAUUAGGCAAAUCCGGUACUCGUUAAGGCUGAGCUGUGAUGGGGAGAAGACAUUGAGUCUUCGAGUCGUUGAUUUCACACUGCCGAGAAAAGCCUCUAGAUAGAAAAUAGGUGCCCGUACCGCAAACCGACACAGGUAGUCAAGAUGAGAAUUCUAAGGUGAGCGAGCGAACUCUCGUUAAGGAACUCGGCAAAAUGACCCCGUAACUUCGGGAGAAGGGGUGCUCUUUAGGGUUAACGCCCAGAAGAGCCGCAGUGAAUAGGCCCAAGCGACUGUUUAUCAAAAACACAGGUCUCUGCUAAACCGUAAGGUGAUGUAUAGGGGCUGACGCCUGCCCGGUGCUGGAAGGUUAAGAGGAGUGGUUAGCUUCUGCGAAGCUACGAAUCGAAGCCCCAGUAAACGGCGGCCGUAACUAUAACGGUCCUAAGGUAGCGAAAUUCCUUGUCGGGUAAGUUCCGACCCGCACGAAAGGCGUAACGAUUUGGGCACUGUCUCAACGAGAGACUCGGUGAAAUCAUAGUACCUGUGAAGAUGCAGGUUACCCGCGACAGGACGGAAAGACCCCGUGGAGCUUUACUGUAGCCUGAUAUUGAAAUUCGGCACAGCUUGUACAGGAUAGGUAGGAGCCUUUGAAACGUGAGCGCUAGCUUACGUGGAGGCGCUGGUGGGAUACUACCCUAGCUGUGUUGGCUUUCUAACCCGCACCACUUAUCGUGGUGGGAGACAGUGUCAGGCGGGCAGUUUGACUGGGGCGGUCGCCUCCUAAAAGGUAACGGAGGCGCUCAAAGGUUCCCUCAGAAUGGUUGGAAAUCAUUCAUAGAGUGUAAAGGCAUAAGGGAGCUUGACUGCGAGACCUACAAGUCGAGCAGGGUCGAAAGACGGACUUAGUGAUCCGGUGGUUCCGCAUGGAAGGGCCAUCGCUCAACGGAUAAAAGCUACCCCGGGGAUAACAGGCUUAUCUCCCCCAAGAGUUCACAUCGACGGGGAGGUUUGGCACCUCGAUGUCGGCUCAUCGCAUCCUGGGGCUGUAGUCGGUCCCAAGGGUUGGGCUGUUCGCCCAUUAAAGCGGUACGCGAGCUGGGUUCAGAACGUCGUGAGACAGUUCGGUCCCUAUCCGUCGUGGGCGUAGGAAAUUUGAGAGGAGCUGUCCUUAGUACGAGAGGACCGGGAUGGACAUACCUCUGGUGUACCAGUUGUCGUGCCAACGGCAUAGCUGGGUAGCUAUGUGUGGACGGGAUAAGUGCUGAAAGCAUCUAAGCAUGAAGCCCCCCUCAAGAUGAGAUUUCCCAACUUCGGUUAUAAGAUCCCUCAAAGAUGAUGAGGUUAAUAGGUUCGAGGUGGAAGCAUGGUGACAUGUGGAGCUGACGAAUACUAAUCGAUCGAAGACUUAAUCAA
Molecule: ribosomal RNA, 2823 nt
Filed under: Staphylococcus aureus
Lineage: Bacteria; Bacillati; Bacillota; Bacilli; Caryophanales; Staphylococcaceae
Description: bacterial LSU rRNA
Rfam family: Bacterial large subunit ribosomal RNA
Source: RNAcentral